GGGCCCGCACAAGUAGUGGAGCAUGUGGUUUAAUUCGAAGAUACGCGCAGAACCUUACCUGGUCUUGACAUGCCCGUCAUAGUUUUCCGAAAGGAAUUCGUCAGUUCGGCUGGACGGUGCACAGGUGCUGCAUGGCUGUCGUCAGCUCGUGUCGUGAGAUGUUCGGUUAAGUCCGGCAACGAGCGCAACCCUCGUUCCUAGUUGCCAGCGGGUAAUGCCGGGGACUCUAGGAAGACAAACCUCGUGUAGAGGUGGGAAGGUGGGGACGACGUCAAGUCAGUAUGGCCCUUACGACCAGGGCUGCACACGUGCUACAAUGCCCAGCACAAUGGGAUGCAACACCGCGAGGUUGAGCAAAUCCACAAAACUGGGCCCAGUUCGGAUCGGAGUCUGCAACUCGACUCCGUGAAGCUGGAAUC
Molecule: ribosomal RNA, 419 nt
Filed under: uncultured bacterium
Lineage: Bacteria
Description: bacterial SSU rRNA
Rfam family: Bacterial small subunit ribosomal RNA
Source: RNAcentral